AAGUCGUAACAAGGUCUCCGUUGGUGAACCAGCGGAGGGAUCAUUACCGAGUUAUCACUCAAAACCCACUGUGAACUUACCACACGUUCGUUGCUUCGGCGGGCGGGGGACCCCUCUCUUUCGGGAGGGGGCCUUCCCCCCCAGGCCCCUCCGGGGGCGCCCGCCGGCAGCGCCAAACUCUGUCGCUAUUGUCUAGCGUUACUGUCUGAUUAUGAAAAUAACAAACGUUAAAAACUUUCAACAACGGAUCUCUUGGCUGUG
Molecule: unclassified non-coding RNA, 261 nt
Filed under: fungal sp.
Lineage: Eukaryota; Fungi
Description: partial internal transcribed spacer region
Rfam family: Eukaryotic small subunit ribosomal RNA (bases 1-46)
Source: RNAcentral